Molecule: ribosomal RNA, 416 nt
Filed under: uncultured prokaryote
Description: bacterial SSU rRNA
Rfam family: Bacterial small subunit ribosomal RNA
Source: RNAcentral
GUGCCAGCCGCCGCGGUAAGACGGAGGGGGCAAGCGUUGUCCGGAAUUAUUGGGCGUAAAGAGCACGUAGGCGGUUUUCUAAGUCUGAUGUGAAAACUCCGGGCUUAACCUGGAGCUUGCAUCAGAAACUGGAUCACUUGAGUUCAGUGGGGGGAAUUGGAAUUCCUAGUGUAGCGGUGAAAUGCGCAGAUAUUAGGAGGAACACCAGUGGCGAAGGCGGAUUCCUAUACUGUAACUGACGCUGAGGUGCGAAAGCUAGGGGAGCAAACAGGAUUAGAUACCCUGGUAGUCCUAGCUGUAAACGAUGGGCACUAGGUGUGGGAAGUUAUCGACUCUUUCCGUGCCGAAGCUAACGCAUUAAGUGCCCCGCCUGGGGAGUACGACCGCAAGGUUAAAACUUAAAUGAAUUGACGGGG